GCUGGGUUGUGACUGUCCGGUGUCAGUGCGUCUGCCUGGGAGCUCCUAUUUCAGCUGUACUGUUAGGCUGUGGCAGCAUUUUCCAGAUGACUUGUCAACACCAUCAUGUGAGUCUCCAUUACUGCCUGGGACUUUGCACACCUCCGUUCCAGCCUCUCAGCUCCAUCAGAACAGUCCUCUUUCCAAAGGCGCUGGUGUCUGUGGAAAAGGCUGCAUUGGAUCUCCAGUGUGACCAUUGCUAUCCUCACCUGUCCAUGCUCACUCCCCGGUGAGCAGCGGCUCUGCCCCUUGCUGUCACCAGCCUGUGACUGCAGCUAAUGGGCUGAAGCCUGCAGCCUUCAAUCUGUUUGAACAGAG
Athene cunicularia (burrowing owl) is the source of this 357-nucleotide long non-coding RNA. RefSeq lists it as uncharacterized. Lineage: Eukaryota; Metazoa; Chordata; Aves; Strigiformes; Strigidae. The transcript has 3 exons. The record is from RefSeq and is a predicted model, not a curated record.